CGCGCAGGCGGCCAGGUCAGUCGAAUGUGAAGGCCCCCGGCUCAACUGGGGAGGGUCGUUCGAUACUGCCUGGCUCGAAGAUAGGAGAGGGAAGUGGAAUUUCAGGUGUAGUGGUGAAAUGCGUAGAUAUCUGAAGGAACACCAGUGGCGAAGGCGACUUUCUGGCCUAUUCUUGACGCUGAGGCGCGAAAGCUAGGGGAGCGAACG
Molecule: ribosomal RNA, 207 nt
Filed under: uncultured bacterium
Lineage: Bacteria
Description: partial 16S ribosomal RNA
Rfam family: Bacterial small subunit ribosomal RNA
Source: RNAcentral